CACGUAGUUAGCCGGGGCUUCUUGGUCAGGUACCGUCCAAAGUCCAAAGGACUUUCUUUCUUCCCUGCUGAUAGAGCUUUACGUACCGAAAUACUUCUUCACUCACGCGGCGUCGCUGCAUCAGGGUUUCCCCCAUUGUGCAAUAUUCCCCACUGCUGCCUCCCGUAGGAGUUUGGGCCGUGUCUCAGUCCCAAUGUGGCCGUUCACCCUCUCAGGCCGGCUACUGAUCGUCGCUUUGGUGGGCCGUUACCCCGCCAACUGGCUAAUCAGACGCGGAUCCAUCGUAUACCACCGGAGUUUUUCACACUGUUCCAUGCGGAACCGUGCGCUUAUGCGGUAUUAGCACCUAUUUCUAAGUGUUAUCCCCCUGUAUACGGCAGGUUAUCCACGCGUUACUCACCCGUCCGCCACUAAUCCAUACAUCACUAGGUUUCAAUAUGGAUCCGUUCGACUUGCAUGCGUUAGGCACGCCGCCAGCGUUCAUCCUGAGCCAGGAUCAAACUCU
Molecule: ribosomal RNA, 505 nt
Filed under: uncultured Lachnospiraceae bacterium
Lineage: Bacteria; Bacillati; Bacillota; Clostridia; Lachnospirales; Lachnospiraceae
Description: partial 16S ribosomal RNA
Source: RNAcentral